This 440-nucleotide ribosomal RNA is filed under the name uncultured bacterium. Its description in RNAcentral is "partial 16S ribosomal RNA". It matches the Rfam family "Bacterial small subunit ribosomal RNA", at positions 338 to 795 of the family's 1533-position model. The record is from RNAcentral.
CCUACGGGUGGCAGCAGUGGGGGAUAUUGCACAAUGGGGGGAACCCUGAUGCAGCGACGCCGCGUGAGCGAUUGAGUACUUCGGUAUGUAAAGCCCUGUCAGCAGGGAAGAAAAUGACGGUACCUGACCAAGAAGCCCCGGCUAAAUAUGUGCCAGCAGCCGCGGUAAUACGUAUGGGGCAAGCGCUAUCCGGAUUCACUGGGUGUAAAGGGAGCGUAGGCGGCAGGGCAAGCCUGAUGUGAAAGCAGGGGGCUCAACCCCGGGACUGCAUAGGGAACUGCCCGGCUGGAGUGCCGGAGGGGGAGGCGGAAUGCGUGGUGUAGCAGUGAAAUGCGUAGAUAUUAGGAGGAACACCAGUGGCGAAGGCGGGCUGCUGGACGGUGACUGACGCUGAGGCUCGAAGGCGUGGGGAGCAAACGGGAUUAGAUACCCCAGUAGUC